RNAcentral lists this non-coding RNA (680 nucleotides) under Pongo abelii (Sumatran orangutan). The record is from RNAcentral. Lineage: Eukaryota; Metazoa; Chordata; Mammalia; Primates; Hominidae.
CUUAGCUAUGAGCUCACAUUUGCCAAUGAUAGUGUUCCAGACAGUUUUAUCAUCCACAUUGCUGACCUGGAAGAUGCAUCAUUGUCUAUGAUAUCUGCAAUGGAAAUGAUCACUAGGCAAUUUCAGCCUUGCAAAUCUAACUAUGAACAGUGACGGACAGGCUGAGAGUGGAGAGACUUUCCCUCGGACCCUUGCCUCAGUAACUUUUAAUACAUGUAAGAUGGAUCAUCUGACUGGACUUUCUGAAACAAUAACAUCGGAAAGUUAAUCAGAGUUGGCGUUCUGGGAAUUCAAGGGCAGAGAUAAGUGCUUCCUCCGGAUACUUCACUGUAUUUCAGCAAAUGAGCUGAGGAAAGAAGUCAAACAAAACUUCAUCACGAAAUAGAAGACUGUUGAUUUUCAAUAUGUCUUCCUUGGCCUCUAUGUAGCACUCCCUUGCUGUCUGUUCUGUUGACGUCUAUGGCUUCCACCCAAGGGAGGACGGCAUUAUAGUGGGUGAAUCCAGCACACCCCAAACUGCCCCUGCUCCCCUCUCCCCCGGGCACGUGGGCCCUUGAAGGCAGGCGUCUCCAAACCAGCAGCAUGUGAACCCUGCCAGAGGUGAGGAAGAGCUCUAGGAGAGCAGCCAGCAGCAUCUGUUUUGCAUACUAAGGGCAGCAACAAUCAACUCUCUUCUAGAA